GACGAACGCUGGCGGCGUGCUUAACACAUGCAAGUCGAACGGAAAGGCCCUGCUUUUGUGGGGUGCUCGAGCGGCGAACGGGUGAGUAACACGUGAGUAACCUGCCCUUGACUUUGGGAUAACUUCAGGAACCUGGGGCUAAUACCGGAUAGGAGCUCCUGCUGCAUGGUGGGGGUUGGAAAGUUUCGGCGGUUGGGGAUGGACUCGCGGCUUAUCAGCUUGUUGGUGGGGUAGUGGCUUACCAAGGCUUUGACGGGUAGCCGGCCUGAGAGGGUGACCGGCCACAUUGGGACUGAGAUACGGCCCAGACUCCUACGGGAGGCAGCAGUGGGGAAUAUUGCACAAUGGGCGGAAGCCUGAUGCAGCAACGCCGCGUGCGGGAUGACGGCCUUCGGGUUGUAAACCGCUUUCGCCUGUGACGAAGCGUGAGUGACGGUAAUGGGUAAAGAAGCACCGGCUAACUACGUG
This 468-nucleotide ribosomal RNA is filed under the name uncultured bacterium. Its description in RNAcentral is "partial 16S ribosomal RNA". It matches the Rfam family "Bacterial small subunit ribosomal RNA", at positions 28 to 507 of the family's 1533-position model. The record is from RNAcentral.